GGUUAAGCGACUAAGCGUACACGGUGGAUGCCCUGGCAAUCAGAGGCGAUGAAGGACGUGCUAAUCUGCGAAAAGCGUCGGUAAGGUGAUAUGAACCGUUAUAACCGGCGAUGUCCGAAUGGGGAAACCCAGUGCAAUUCGUUGCACUAUCGUUAACUGAAUACAUAGGUUAACGAGGCGAACCGGGGGAACUGAAACAUCUAAGUACCCCGAGGAAAAGAAAUCAACCGAGAUUCCCCCAGUAGCGGCGAGCGAACGGGGAGCAGCCCAGAGUCUGAAUCAGCUUGUGUGUUAGUGGAACGGUCUGGAAAGUCCGACGGUACAGGGUGAUAGUCCCGUACACCAAAAUGCACAGGUUGUGAACUCGAAGAGUAGGGCGGGACACGUGGUAUCCUGUCUGAAUAUGGGGGGACCAUCCUCCAAGGCUAAAUACUCCUGACUGACCGAUAGUGAACCAGUACCGUGAGGGAAAGGCGAAAAGAACCCCGGCGAGGGGAGUGAAAAAGAACCUGAAACCGUGUACGUACAAGCAGUGGGAGCACCUUCGGGUGUGACUGCGUACCUUUUGUAUAAUGGGUCAGCGACUUAUAUUCUGUAGCAAGGUUAACCGUAUAGGGGAGCCGCAGGGAAACCGAGUCUUAACUGGGCGUUAAGUUGCAGGGUAUAGACCCGAAACCCGGUGAUCUAGCCAUGGGCAGGUUGAAGGUUGGGUAACACUAACUGGAGGACCGAACCGACUAAUGUUGAAAAAUUAGCGGAUGACUUGUGGCUGGGGGUGAAAGGCCAAUCAAACCGGGAGAUAGCUGGUUCUCCCCGAAAGCUAUUUAGGUAGCGCCUCGUGAACUCAUCUUCGGGGGUAGAGCACUGUUUCGGCUAGGGGGUCAUCCCGACUUACCAACCCGAUGCAAACUACGAAUACCGAAGAAUGUUAUCACGGGAGACACACGGCGGGUGCUAACGUCCGUCGUGAAGAGGGAAACAACCCAGACCGCCAGCUAAGGUCCCAAAGUCAUGGUUAAGUGGGAAACGAUGUGGGAAGGCACAGACAGCCAGGAUGUUGGCUUAGAAGCAGCCAUCAUUUAAAGAAAGCGUAAUAGCUCACUGGUCGAGUCGGCCUGCGCGGAAGAUGUAACGGGGCUAAACCAUGCACCGAAGCUGCGGCAGCGACACUAUGUGUUGUUGGGUAGGGGAGCGUUCUGUAAGCCUGCGAAGGUGUGCUGUGAGGCAUGCUGGAGGUAUCAGAAGUGCGAAUGCUGACAUAAGUAACGAUAAAGCGGGUGAAAAGCCCGCUCGCCGGAAGACCAAGGGUUCCUGUCCAACGUUAAUCGGGGCAGGGUGAGUCGACCCCUAAGGCGAGGCCGAAAGGCGUAGUCGAUGGGAAACAGGUUAAUAUUCCUGUACUUGGUGUUACUGCGAAGGGGGGACGGAGAAGGCUAUGUUAGCCGGGCGACGGUUGUCCCGGUUUAAGCAUGUAGGCUGGUUAUCCAGGCAAAUCCGGAUAAUCAAGGCUGAGGUGUGAUGACGAGGCACUACGGUGCUGAAGUAACAAAUGCCCUGCUUCCAGGAAAAGCCUCUAAGCAUCAGGUAACAUCAAAUCGUACCCCAAACCGACACAGGUGGUCAGGUAGAGAAUACCAAGGCGCUUGAGAGAACUCGGGUGAAGGAACUAGGCAAAAUGGUGCCGUAACUUCGGGAGAAGGCACGCUGGUGUGUAGGUGAAGUCCCUGCGGAUGGAGCUGAGACCAGUCGAAGAUACCAGCUGGCUGCAACUGUUUAUUAAAAACACAGCACUGUGCAAACACGAAAGUGGACGUAUACGGUGUGACGCCUGCCCGGUGCCGGAAGGUUAAUUGAUGGGGUUAUCCGUAAGGAGAAGCUCUUGAUCGAAGCCCCGGUAAACGGCGGCCGUAACUAUAACGGUCCUAAGGUAGCGAAAUUCCUUGUCGGGUAAGUUCCGACCUGCACGAAUGGCGUAAUGAUGGCCAGGCUGUCUCCACCCGAGACUCAGUGAAAUUGAACUCGCUGUGAAGAUGCAGUGUACCCGCGGCAAGACGGAAAGACCCCGUGAACCUUUACUAUAGCUUGACACUGAACAUUGAGCCUUGAUGUGUAGGAUAGGUGGGAGGCUUUGAAGCGUGGACGCCAGUCUGCGUGGAGCCAACCUUGAAAUACCACCCUUUAAUGUUUGAUGUUCUAACGUUGGCCCCUGACCGGGGUUGCGGACAGUGUCUGGUGGGUAGUUUGACUGGGGCGGUCUCCUCCCAAAGCGUAACGGAGGAGCACGAAGGUUAGCUAAUCCUGGUCGGACAUCAGGAGGUUAGUGCAAUGGCAUAAGCUAGCUUGACUGCGAGCGUGACGGCGCGAGCAGGUGCGAAAGCAGGUCAUAGUGAUCCGGUGGUUCUGAAUGGAAGGGCCAUCGCUCAACGGAUAAAAGGUACUCCGGGGAUAACAGGCUGAUACCGCCCAAGAGUUCAUAUCGACGGCGGUGUUUGGCACCUCGAUGUCGGCUCAUCACAUCCUGGGGCUGAAGUAGGUCCCAAGGGUAUGGCUGUUCGCCAUUUAAAGUGGUACGCGAGCUGGGUUUAGAACGUCGUGAGACAGUUCGGUCCCUAUCUGCCGUGGGCGCUGGAGAAUUGAGGGGGGCUGCUCCUAGUACGAGAGGACCGGAGUGGACGCAUCACUGGUGUUCGGGUUGUCAUGCCAAUGGCACUGCCCGGUAGCUAAAUGCGGAAGAGAUAAGUGCUGAAAGCAUCUAAGCACGAAACUUGCCCCGAGAUGAGUUCUCCCUGAGACUAUAAGUCUCCUGAAGGAACGUUAAAGACGAUGACGUUGAUAGGCCGGGUGUGUAAGCGCAGCGAUGCGUUGAGCUAACCGGUACUAAUGAACCGUGAGGCUUAACCUU
This 2902-nucleotide ribosomal RNA is filed under the name Klebsiella pneumoniae. RNAcentral describes it as "23S ribosomal RNA". It matches the Rfam family "Bacterial large subunit ribosomal RNA". The record is from RNAcentral. Lineage: Bacteria; Pseudomonadati; Pseudomonadota; Gammaproteobacteria; Enterobacterales; Enterobacteriaceae.